RNAcentral lists this ribosomal RNA (495 nucleotides) under uncultured bacterium. RNAcentral's name for it is "partial 16S ribosomal RNA". It matches the Rfam family "Bacterial small subunit ribosomal RNA", at positions 28 to 507 of the family's 1533-position model. The record is from RNAcentral.
GACGAACGCUGGCGGCGUGCCUAAUACAUGCAAGUAGAACGCUGAAGGAGGAGCUUGCUUCUCCGGAUGAGUUGCGAACGGGUGAGUAACGCGUAGGUAACCUGCCUGGUAGCGGGGGAUAACUAUUGGAAACGAUAGCUAAUACCGCAUAAGAGUAGAUGUUGCAUGACAUUUGCUUAAAAGGUGCAAUUGCAUCACUACCAGAUGGACCUGCGUUGUAUUAGCUAGUUGGUGAGGUAACGGCUCACCAAGGCGACGAUACAUAGCCGACCUGAGAGGGUGAUCGGCCACACUGGGACUGAGACACGGCCCAGACUCCUACGGGAGGCAGCAGUAGGGAAUCUUCGGAAAUGGACGGAAGUCUGACCGAGCAACGCCGCGUGAGUGAAGAAGGUUGUCGGAUCGUAAAGCUCUGUUGUAAGAGAAGAACGAGUGUGAGAGUGGAAAGUUCACACUGUGACGGUAUCUUACCAGAAAGGGACGGCUAACUACGUG